UACGGAGGGUGCGAGCGUUAAUCGGAAUUACUGGGCGUAAAGCGCGCGUAGGCGGCUUUGUAAGUCAGGGGUGAAAUCCCACGGCUCAACCGUGGCAUUGCCUUUGAUACUGCAGAGCUUGAGUUCGGGAGAGGGUGGUGGAAUUCCAGGUGUAGGAGUGAAAUCCGUAGAGAUCUGGAGGAACAUCAGUGGCGAAGGCGACCACCUGGCCCGAUACUGACGCUGAGGUGCGAAAGCGUGGGUAGCAAACAGG
Molecule: ribosomal RNA, 253 nt
Filed under: uncultured bacterium
Lineage: Bacteria
Description: partial 16S ribosomal RNA
Rfam family: Bacterial small subunit ribosomal RNA
Source: RNAcentral